This 492-nucleotide ribosomal RNA is filed under the name uncultured bacterium. RNAcentral's name for it is "partial 16S ribosomal RNA". It matches the Rfam family "Bacterial small subunit ribosomal RNA", at positions 29 to 507 of the family's 1533-position model. The record is from RNAcentral.
AGUGAACGCUGGCGGUAGGCCUAACACAUGCAAGUCGAACGGCAGCACAGUAAGAGCUUGCUCUUACGGGUGGCGAGUGGCGGACGGGUGAGGAAUACAUCGGAAUCUACUUUUUCGUGGGGGAUAACGUAGGGAAACUUACGUUAAUACCGCAUACGACCUACGGGUGAAAGCAGGGGAUCUUCGGACCUUGCGCGAUUGAAUGAGCCGAUGUCGGAUUGGCUAGUUGGCGGGGUAAAGGCCCACCAAGGCGACGAUCCGUAGCUGGUCUGAGAGGAUGAUCAGCCACACUGGAACUGAGACACGGUCCAGACUCCUACGGGAGGCAGCAGUGGGGAAUAUUGGACAAUGGGCGCAAGCCUGAUCCAGCCAUACCGCGUGGGUGAAGAAGGCCUUCGGGUUGUAAAGCCCUUUUGUUGGGAAAGAAAAGCAGCAGGUUAAUACCCCGCUGUUCUGACGGUACCCAAAGAAUAAGCACCGGCUAACUUCGUG